UAUUGCUCUUUUAGAAGGUCCAGCCUGCCCAGUGAUAUUUUUUAACGGCCGCGGUACUCUGACCGUGCGAAGGUAGCAUAAUCACUUGUUCUUUAAAUGAGGACUAGUAUCAACGGCAUCACGAGGAUUUUACUGUCUCCUUUUUCCUAUCGGUGAAACUGAUCUCCCCGUGAAGAAGCGGGGAUAAUUCUAUAAGACGAGAAGACCCCAUGGAGCUUUAAACCCAGAGACACCUCAAACCCCCCUUUCCAUAAAAGUUUUUAUGUGCUGUCCUCUGGUUUUAGGUUGGGGUGACCGCGGAGUAAAACUUAACCUCCACAACGCACGGAACUUCUUCCUUAUCUAAGAGCAACAUCUCAAAGAAUUAACAUAUUGACGUAAAAUGAUCCAAUAACUUUUAUUUUGAUCAACGAACCAAGUUACCCUGGGGAUAACAGCGCAAUCCAUUUCCAGAGCCCCUAUCGACAAAUGGGUUUACGACCUCGAUGUUGGAUCAGGGUAUCCCAGUGGUGCAGCCGCUACUAAUGGUUUGUUUGUUCAACAAUUAAAACCCUACGUGAUCUGAGUUCAAACGGGGAGAG
RNAcentral lists this ribosomal RNA (581 nucleotides) under Minervarya asmati (Bangladeshi cricket frog). Its description in RNAcentral is "partial large subunit ribosomal RNA". It matches the Rfam family "Bacterial large subunit ribosomal RNA", at positions 1835 to 2625 of the family's 2925-position model. Lineage: Eukaryota; Metazoa; Chordata; Amphibia; Anura; Dicroglossidae. The record is from RNAcentral.